This 467-nucleotide ribosomal RNA is filed under the name uncultured Klebsiella sp. Its description in RNAcentral is "bacterial SSU rRNA". It matches the Rfam family "Bacterial small subunit ribosomal RNA", at positions 338 to 795 of the family's 1533-position model. The record is from RNAcentral. Lineage: Bacteria; Pseudomonadati; Pseudomonadota; Gammaproteobacteria; Enterobacterales; Enterobacteriaceae.
CCUACGGGAGGCAGCAGUGGGGAAUAUUGCACAAUGGGCGCAAGCCUGAUGCAGCCAUGCCGCGUGUGUGAAGAAGGCCUUCGGGUUGUAAAGCACUUUCAGCGGGGAGGAAGGCGGUGAGGUUAAUAACCUCAUCGAUUGACGUUACCCGCAGAAGAAGCACCGGCUAACUCCGUGCCAGCAGCCGCGGUAAUACGGAGGGUGCAAGCGUUAAUCGGAAUUACUGGGCGUAAAGCGCACGCAGGCGGUCUGUCAAGUCGGAUGUGAAAUCCCCGGGCUCAACCUGGGAACUGCAUUCGAAACUGGCAGGCUAGAGUCUUGUAGAGGGGGGUAGAAUUCCAGGUGUAGCGGUGAAAUGCGUAGAGAUCUGGAGGAAUACCGGUGGCGAAGGCGGCCCCCUGGACAAAGACUGACGCUCAGGUGCGAAAGCGUGGGGAGCAAACAGGAUUAGAUACCCGCGUGUAGUC